Molecule: long non-coding RNA, 2138 nt
Organism: Bos taurus (domestic cattle)
Lineage: Eukaryota; Metazoa; Chordata; Mammalia; Artiodactyla; Bovidae
Source: Ensembl
GUGCUAAGCCUCUGGGUAAAUAGAUAAACCCAAGAGGAAGAAAUAAGCACAAAGGCAAGCAAGUCGGGAUGGAGCGGGAAGUGGGCUGGAGGUGGGUGGGUACGGAGGAGGGGCAGCUCCAAAGGCAGGUCAGCCCUGGGUCGCCGUAGCUGAGUUAGGCCGUCUGGGAGGUCAGAGGCUGCUGGCUGACCUGCCAGGCCAGGACAAACAGAGGACGUUCAAUUCCUCCCUCUGUAUUCCAGGAGGAGUCUGUUGACCACGAUAACAGCCCUGUUAUCUCGGCCAGGAAAAAGGCGUUGUGGUUGCGGACCAGCGGCUGGAAGCCAGACACGCCGGGUGCUGCCUCUUGCUACCCUCUCGGUCCGCAUCACCUCCACCCGACAGAACAGGAUGCAGAGGCUCAGAAGCUGCGACAUCCAGUCACCCAGCACGGCAGUGACGCCGCGUGCCAGCAAACCCCGGCCCUCCCUGCCUCCCAGCCUUGGUGCCUUUCUCGGCACAAGGCUGUAAAGUGAUGACAUGAAGGUGGACUAUGUCCCGGGAGCGGGUCUGUGCGAUCCCGUCCCCACACCACACCUCCGCCCCCUCCUCUACCUGGCUGACUCCUCGCCGUCCUUGGACACCCAGCUUGAGGGCCCUCGCCUGCAGGCAGUCUGCCUGAUCUCCAGCCUGUUUCAGAACCCCCGGGGGCCUGUGCUUGGGCAACCAGGGUUCUUACGCUUCAGGUUGUAGCAGAUCCUUGUCAGUCUCCUCCUGCACUAGGGCGCCCAGGGGCCAAGAACUGAUGGCCACCCCGCCCCAGAAAAAAUAAAUAGAUUUAAUAAAUUGCAAGAUCAUCUGUAACUGCUCCCAAAACAGUGGCAUCCUGCAGGCAAGAGCCCACUAAAAAAGUCUUCUAGCAGGCGCCUCUGCUUCACCCACUCCCCACAGCCCCAUGACCCCUUGACCUUCAUCUGUCACCUCGUGACUCAGUGUGGUCCCUGGAUCAGCAGCGUCAGUACCAAGGGCUUGUUGGAAAGGCAGAAGCUCAGACAACCCAGACCCCCGGCACAAAGCAGGGCUUCAUUAACAUCAGCUCUUGUUAUAGGAUUGGAACCUUGCUCUAAAGCCUACUAUGUAGCACCCAUCAUGCCCAUUCCUAGUUGGGGAGCUGGGCUUCAUGGAGGGGAAAUGACUUUCUCCAGGUUUAACAGCCAGGACAUGAUAGACGCGGGUUUCAAACCUAGGGUUCGUGGCUCUCUCAAGCUGAUGGAAGUUAGUGCUGAUAUUCCACAUGGUGGAAAGAGAUAGGAAAUCUCCGUCUAUCAAGCAUGCACUCCUUGCAAAGCCCUUUGCCUGGCUCAUCUCUUGUGAUCUUCCCGACCCCUUUAUGAAGUAGGGGGGUAGGCAGUCUCAUUUUACAGACAAGAAUACAAGACUCAGGCGGGCAGGGGGGAACUUGCUUGAGGACCACAGCCAGGAAAGGGCAGUACACGGGUGGAACCCAGUUCUGUUUACCUGAAGCCAGCACGCAGCCUGUUCCUGACCCAGAGGAGCGGAGCCGCAGACAGGGCUGUGGAGAGGGGGCGCUGCUGGUUCCCUGCUCCAGCUCCUUCCCGUCCUCUUCCACUGUGGAGAGCCUGUGGCCUUGGGUCAAAAUUCACACUUCCUUCCCCUUUCUGACUCUCUGCCUUCAGCUAAAUUGUUAACCACUUCCAACAGAGCGAAAACACCUGCCUAUCGGGGCAAUUGGUCAGUCCCGGUGUAUGACGUCACCACCAGCCAUUUCCAUCAGCUGCCGGCAGUGCCGGGAAUCCCUGGGAUCGCCCUCGUGCGUGCCUGGGGCUCACCUUGCAGGCCCUUCUGUGUGCUCCUGGAUGUGCGUCUCCGCAGCAGACAGCUCACAGGGGGAUGAACACAGGGGUGCGACCUGAGACACCCCUUCCCGCGGCAGCCCCGUCCCUCUCACUGCUGAGAUUUGGGCAGAUUUCUCAGCUUCAGCUUCUCCAUCACUAAAAUGAGCAGGUGAUCUCCCAAAUAUACAAACAGUUCAUGCAGCUCAUUAUCCAACAAACAGCCCAAUCAAAAGAAUGGACCCAAGACCUAAAUAGACAUUUCCCCAAAGAAGACAGACAGAUGCCCAAGGGGCACAUGAAAAG